AGCGAACGCUGGCGGCAGGCCUAACACAUGCAAGUCGAACGAACCUUUCGGGGUUAGUGGCGGACGGGUGAGUACCACGUGGGAACGUGCCUUUAGGUUCGGAAUAACUCAGGGAAACUUGUGCUAAUACCGAAUGUGCCCUUCGGGGGAAAGCUUUAUCGCCUUUAGAGCGGCCCGCGUCUGAUUAGCUAGUUGGUUGAGGUAAUGGCUCACCAAGGCGACGAUCAGUAGCUGGUCUGAGAGGAUGAUCAGCCACAUUGGGACUGAGACACGGCCUAAACUCCGACGGGAGGCAGCAGUGGGGAAUCUUGCGCAAUGGGCGAAAGCCUGACGCAGCCAUGCCGCGUGAAUGAUGAAGGUCUUAGGAUUGUAAAAUUCUUUCACCGGGGACGAUAAUGACGGUACCCGGAGAAGAAGCCCCGGCUAACUUCGUG
RNAcentral lists this ribosomal RNA (434 nucleotides) under uncultured bacterium. RNAcentral's name for it is "partial 16S ribosomal RNA". It matches the Rfam family "Bacterial small subunit ribosomal RNA", at positions 29 to 507 of the family's 1533-position model. The record is from RNAcentral.